This is a long non-coding RNA of Cyprinus carpio carpio, 3528 nucleotides long. NCBI's taxonomy places the organism in Eukaryota, Metazoa, Chordata, Actinopteri, Cypriniformes, Cyprinidae. The record is from Ensembl.
CAUCCCUCCAUCCCAAAAAACCUGCUGCCAGAGAAAUCGCUGUGUCGCAGCACCUGCCUUUUUGUCUAUUGACGCUGUCCUCCUCCCUCAGCGCCUCACAUCUCCAGCAGAAAGGAGCUGCUCAACUCUGUGUGAAACUUUCUGAGACGGAUCCGCAGCACAAUUACCACCAGAUACCGAAGGCCCGAUGUGCUCAGGGCGAACUUCUUAUCACUCUUCCCUUAGAGAAGACAUGAACCGGAGAAAGCUUCCACAUCAAAGAAGGCGGAGCCCCAGAGCCACGCCCACUUAUUACAUCAGCAGCACGGACCAAUGGUAGUUCAGGGGUGUUUACCAGCCAGAGCGUUUCAAACUUGAAAAUGAACUUUGUUUUUGGCCGGUUUUUAAAUGAAAAGAUGUCACACCAGUUUUUCAUUCUUUGAUUUCAGUUUGUGUCAAAUAAGGUUUAUAUCAACUGCGCUUCAUGUGAACCUGAGCUGAAACCCCUUCAAAAGAUACUAAUAUGUACACUUUAGCUGCUAAUAUGUAGUCUAAUAUGUACAUCUAGAUGUGAAUAAGGUACAAAGAUGCACCUUCCAGCUUUCUUUUGAACCGUUCGUGAUCAUGUUAUCUGAUGGGUGACUCUUUCACAAACGCACGACUGUACAAAAGCAGGUCACCUUACUCUGCAAGACACCUUCUGAGUGUGAGCGCUGACGAGCCCUCAAUAGACGACGCCUUAUCUGCAGCUCCAGCACAAGAGAUGGAACGCUGCCCUCCAUCCCGGAUUACUCAAAUUCAAUACUCAUUCUCCAUGCCGCCCUCCUCUUCUCCGGCAUCAGCGCCUUUCAAAAGGGAGCCAUUCAUGUCCCUAAUGAGAUUACGAGAGACGAGUGGAAACCAACAUUUCCAGGGAUUGUUGUUGGAGGGGUCUGUGGUUCUAACACCUGUCAUUGGCAUCGAUCUGGAGCUCACUAUAUCUCAGAGGGCCGAGAGUCGCUGACCGCCAUCGAUCAGCCAUUUGUAUGCAUGGGAACGUGCGAGGGCUGUUCUUUUAGUGAGGGUAAAAUUGGUUUUGGACGUGUGUGGGUGUCGCUGUGUCAUUAGGGGCUCGCUGCUGACUCUCCUGCCCACGCUCUGAGAUCUCGUCCUGUGAAGAACAGCAUAAUCCUCCUGGGCCCAGUCAAAAAUGGAUGGAUGGUGGGUGGAUGGAGUAGUGAAAUCCGUGGAGGAGGAUGUAGAGACGUGCAGCUCGAUGCGCAGCAGAACUUUGGGCCAUCAAAGCGGUUGGUAAUGGGUGAAGGAGGAGCAGGAACGCAGCGAUGGGACGGAAAUAGAAAACACGCAUGUUAGCGUGAACAAUUCUCUUCACUGACGGUUAAUUACCUGCUGAGAUUCCCGAAGAGCAGCUGCUGUCAUCUGGACGUCUCUCUUCAGCCCCGGUCACUUCACACACCGGUCCUCCAUGCGUCCUUCACACAGCGCCAGCAGAGGUCUUUCAGAUGGACCUUCAUCCUUUCAUGUGGAUCUUUUCAUCUUCCUCACGCUCUUUGAAGAACAAACCUCCUGCUUUCAUGAGCAACUCGAAAAAAACAUAAACAUGCAAACCAUCAGACCGGCUUUCAUGUGUUUGCUGUUGCUCCAUCUCCACUUCACAAUAUAUAAAUAUUGAUAAUAUAUUAAACAUUCAAAAAAUAUAAUAUAAAACGUUCAAAAUAUAAAAUAAAAUAUAUACUGAAAUAGAAAAAAAAACAAGCAUUACUGUCUUUAUAUGAUUUGUUUUAGCACCAAUCUCCAAUUUAUUAAUAUAUAUGUGUCACAGUAUGUGUGUCCAAGAUAAACUCUCUCAUGAAGAUGAAGGAAAAACAUGUCUUUUAAUAAAUCAACACAGGGUGAAUCACAGGAGCAGCAUUCACAACAAUGGACGAGGGACAACUGAGCGGGCCAGAACUAAAGCUGUGCUAAUGAGGGACAGACAGGUGAGGAGGGUCAGCUAAUGAGGACACAGCUGAACUGACCAACACAAUCAAUCACUGGGAAACAGAACAGCAGGAAUGAAAACCAGGUCACUCAAACUGUUUUGAAAACUCCUGCCAGGGAGAAGAUUUUCAGAAACUCUGUUUGCAGUGUUAUCAUGUAGACAGCGAAACUGGAGAUUUUGGCUUGUGACAUUUGAGCAUGCGCUGUUAUCUCCUCCUACUGGAAACUUUUUCAGGCUUCUGAUUGGCCAACAUGGCUUUAGGGUGGAGAUUAUAUGUUACAUAUAUAUUAUAUCGCCACCUGUUGGUUUGACCUGCUCUUUACAGUGCAUCAUAGCAUGCGUUUGCACUUUCAUGUGGACGGAAAUUUUUUUAAAAACGGAAGGAAAAACUCAAUUUAUAAAAAAAAGUCAGUCAAAGUCAGAGAGGCUUUAUUAUCAUUUCAGCUCUAUACAGCUACGAAACAGCGUUUCUCCAGGACCAUGGUGCUACACAAGACAACAUUAACUACAAAACUCACAUUGUACUUUGCAAAGGACUAUACAUAAUUAAAUUAUCUUAAAUAAUCUAACAUAAUACUAAAACUGGAAGAAGAAGAAGAAGAAGUAAAAGUAAAAAAGUUGAACAUAAAGCAAAGUACAGACUACAUAAAGUGCGUCUGCAUGUCUGAAUGAAACAUGAAUGGGACAUUACAAUAUAUGUAUAUAUACAUAUAUAAACAUAUACAUAUUUUUAUACAUAGAACAGGUCACAAUAUUAAUAGACAAGGCACAAUAUUGAGGUAGAUUCAUGCAAAUGUCCGGACAUGCAAAGUAUGCAGUUGGGUUCCAAGUGUUUGUAAUUCAAGUAUUUAUAGUAGGGGUGUACAUGUGUGAGUGUAGUUGUCAGGUCAGUUCUCAUGGAGUUGAGGAGUCUGAUGACUCGAGGGAAGAAACUGUCACACUAUCUGACCGUGAGGGCCUGAAUGCUUCUGUAGCUUCUUCUGGAUGGCAGAAGGGUGAAGAGCUGGUGUGAGGGGUUUGUAGGGUCGCUAGUAAUCGUGAUGGCUUUCGGAAUGCAGCGAGUGGUGUAAACGUCUGUGAUAGAGGGGAGAGAGACUCCAAUGAUCUUUUCAGCUGUCCUCACGAUCCGCUGCAGGGUCUUGCGAUCUGUGAUGGUGCAAUUCCCAAACCAGGUAGUGAUGCAGGUGCUCAGUCCCUUUGUAAAAUGUGGUGAGGAUGGGGGGUGGGAGAUGUGCUUUCUUCAGUCUGCAUAAAAAGUAAAGAGGCUGCUGAGCUUUCUUUGCUAUGGAGCUGGUGUUGAGAGACCAGGUGAAGUUCUCAAGUCAGAUGAACAACAAUGAAUUUGGUGCUCUUUGCGAUCUCCAAAGAGGAGCCGUCGAUGUUCAGUGGAGAGUGAUUGGUAUGUGAUCUCCUAAACUCAACAACCAUCUCUUUAGUUUUGUCCACGUUCAGGGACAGGUUGUUGACACCAAUCCGCUAGCCGAAGCACCUUCUCUCUGUACGCUGAUUCGUCGCCUUUGCUUAUAAGACCCACCACGGCCGUGUCAUCAGCAAACUUGAUGAUGUGG